ACACUUCGAACGCACCUUGUGUGAAUUGCAGGACACAUUGAUCAUCGAAACUUCGAACGCACCUUGCGGCCCCGGGUUACUCCCGGGGCUACGGCUGUCUGAGGGUCGCUUUGACAUCAAUCGGAAAGGCCGUUCUACCUCGUGCCUUCUCGCGGGUGUGGCCGACGCUGGCAUCCGUUGCUCUUCCCACUAAGCGCAGACGGCUGAGGAGUCUCUCGCCACCUCGGUUGCGGUUGUGGCGCGGUGUCAGGCCUACCGCCCUUCCGUAAUACCCGUGGGAUCCAGUGCUCCAGUUCCUCUCUUCCUCAUGCUCCCGUGGAACCAAAAACCCCUGGGAGAAGGGUCGCCCGGACGGGCACCGCAUGAAUCGGGAGCGGCUGUCGGUGGACAGACCUUGUCUCUCCGCGCUGACCGUGUUACGUGUCCGGGAUGAUGGCCUAGUAACGCUGCGGCUGUGAGUACGAGGUUCGGGGGUCGUCCUCGGUGUUUGGGAGGUCGCGGCGCAGGGGGCACCCACCGGCUCGUCGCGGCGCACUCCACCUCCGGAGGCGUUACGACCCCCCCAGGCUAUCCCGGAACGCGCCCAACAGAGCAGACUAGA
This 601-nucleotide ribosomal RNA is filed under the name Priacanthus macracanthus (red bigeye). RNAcentral's name for it is "eukaryotic LSU rRNA". The stretch from base 1 to 108 matches the Rfam family "5.8S ribosomal RNA", at positions 50 to 154 of the family's 154-position model. Lineage: Eukaryota; Metazoa; Chordata; Actinopteri; Priacanthiformes; Priacanthidae. The record is from RNAcentral.